RNAcentral lists this ribosomal RNA (454 nucleotides) under Campylobacter gracilis. RNAcentral describes it as "bacterial SSU rRNA". It matches the Rfam family "Bacterial small subunit ribosomal RNA", at positions 29 to 497 of the family's 1533-position model. The record is from RNAcentral. Lineage: Bacteria; Pseudomonadati; Campylobacterota; Epsilonproteobacteria; Campylobacterales; Campylobacteraceae.
AGUGAACGCUGGCGGCGUGCCUAAUACAUGCAAGUCGAACGGAAUUUAAGAGAGCUUGCUCUUUUAAAUUUAGUGGCGCACGGGUGAGUAAUAUAUAGCUAAUCUGCCCCUUGCUGGAGGACAACAGUUGGAAAUGACUGCUAAUACUCCAUACUCCUUUUUACCAUAAGAUAAAUCGGGAAAGAAUUUCGGCAAGGGAUGAGACUAUAUCGUAUCAGCUAGUCGGUGGGGUAACGGCCUACCGAGGCUAUGACGCGUAACUGGUCUGAGAGGAUGAUCAGUCACAUUGGAACUGAGACACGGUCCAAACUCCUACGGGAGGCAGCAGUAGGGAAUAUUGCGCAAUGGGGGAAACCCUGACGCAGCAACGCCGCGUGGAGGAUGACACUUUUCGGAGCGUAAACUCCUUUUGUUAGGGAAGAAUAAUGACGGUACCUAACGAAUAAGCACGGUA